Brachypodium distachyon (stiff brome) is the source of this 1394-nucleotide RNA transcript. RefSeq lists it as uncharacterized. The transcript is spliced from 6 exons. The record is from RefSeq and is a predicted model, not a curated record. Lineage: Eukaryota; Viridiplantae; Streptophyta; Magnoliopsida; Poales; Poaceae.
CUUUCCCGUCAUGUCUUCUUCUUUCUCUCGCCUAUGCAGCACACUAGCACAGCACAUCUCCUAUCCUCCCCCGAUUCUUUCUCCGGGCUGUGUGCAGCAUCCCUGCUCCUCCUUCUCACCGCCGGUCAGAUCUGCCCCUCCUCCUUCCCCCUGCCAGCGGCAGCAUUCCUCCGCCUGUCAGAUCUCCCCUGCCUCCUUCACUUAAAUCUUCGUCUGAGGGAGCCGCCGUGCUCGACGGCGGCGGGCGCGGGCGGCCUGUGGGCGGUGGCUGGGCGCAGCGGUGGCUCCUCUCCUCCCGACGGCUCUCGCAGCGGCUGGAUGCGGGAGCAAGGACGGGGGGCUCCACAAGAAGCAGCGUCGGCGAGCGUGUCCGCGGCCGCUCUGGUGGGGAAGGAAGCGCUCGGGUGGGACCCACGAGGUCAACCAUUUGCUAGACCCGGAGCAUCAUGGAUGGGGGGAUGCUGCACCACUACCAUCAGCUCCCAGCAAUUCUACAGCAUCACCUGGUUGAGAAAUAGAGACCUGAUCAUGCCCCCAAAGGGCCCAAACUAAGAACGGAUGCUAUGGAUUGCAGAAUAUAAAGGUGGUUUCACAUAAUGCUACAACUAAAGAGAAAGAGUACAUUUAAAGCUGGACUGCUGAUGAUGAACCUCUCCGUAAACUAUGUCAAGGACGUUGCAAGUAAUGUGUCUCACUUGUCUACUUGUGUUCAGUGGAAAUCUUGCGAAAUCACCUGAGUAUAUUGAGAUUUAUUCUGCUAUAUAAAGUGCUUCCAGGAAUACAGAUCGAGAACUAGCCACGGGGCCCUGAGGCAGAUUACGCCAUGAUUAUCGUGCUUCUCAAGUGGAUAUGUUUCUAGAUGCUACCAAAAUCAUGGUUCUUCUGAAGUGCAUAGCCCAACUUCUGGACGAACUGCUCCAGACCACCGUGAGUUGCAUCUAUCUUCUCCCUCGUGUGUUUAAUCUCCGAAGGACACAGGAGAACUGCCGUCUCCUCGACGCCAGAAACCGGCAGCAAGAAAUGCCGCCCGGCAGCCAUCAAAAUAACCCCGUCUUGUCCCUUCUUUCCUUUCCUCACUGCUUCUGCACGCCAAAGCCUGAGUUCCACCCGCAGCAUCGCCAAGUCCUUGUCUGCGCCCUAAUUCCCGCCAAUCGCCAUUGAUGUUGCCUCGCCGAAUUCCAGAGAACCAAAGCGCCAAGGGCUGAACCAUCACACCAGAAUCAAUACCUCAUCUUCAAGAUUCCAUUCAGAUGAUCGUCUACCCAACCCGUCAACUACGCCCGAUCAAUUUUGUGUUCCAAUUAAUUAGACUUCGUCCUGAACUUCGUCUCAAGAUCAUGUGGUGCCUGGUAAGCCGUUGAUCGAUCAAUGCUAUGAGCCCAUAUGUUUAUCUU